This is a small nuclear RNA of Leptonychotes weddellii (Weddell seal), 107 nucleotides long. The record is from RefSeq and is a predicted model, not a curated record. Lineage: Eukaryota; Metazoa; Chordata; Mammalia; Carnivora; Phocidae.
GUGCUCACUUCGGCAGCACAUAUACUAAAAGUUGGAACGAUACAGAGAAGAUUAGGAUGGCCCUGAGCCAGGGUGACGCGAAAAUUCAUGAAGUGUCCAUAUUUUUG